Molecule: long non-coding RNA, 338 nt
Organism: Corapipo altera (White-ruffed manakin)
Lineage: Eukaryota; Metazoa; Chordata; Aves; Passeriformes; Pipridae
Exons: 2
Source: RefSeq, a predicted model, not a curated record
ACUGAACUGCCCCGCCAGGAGCUCCGGACAGCCACGGCAACAUCCAGCGCCCUGGCAAUCCUUAAACCUUGGCCUGACCACCGGUGACAGCAGUGCUGCAAUACGUCAUGCAGAUGGGGCAGCCUGUCUCCAGAGUGCAAGUGGAAGCAGUCCCAGGGAUCAAAUAUAAGCACAACGAUCAUUACACACGUGCCUCGCAAGCAUGAGUUGUGCAGAGAUUUCCACUGAGCUGCAUAAAACGUCCCCAGUCUGUUUCUUGACUGGACAGAUGUAUAGAUUAAUUGUAAAUAGAUCUGUUUUUAGCUCCAUAUGUUAAAUAAACAUUCAGUUUUCCAGUG